This 99-nucleotide signal recognition particle RNA is filed under the name Pseudomonadota bacterium. RNAcentral's name for it is "signal recognition particle sRNA small type". It matches the Rfam family "Bacterial small signal recognition particle RNA". Rfam says of the family: The signal recognition particle (SRP) is a universally conserved ribonucleoprotein involved in the co-translational targeting of proteins to membranes. Archaeal SRP consists of a 7S RNA and homologues of the eukaryotic SRP19 and SRP54 proteins. RNAcentral also lists the same sequence under 1 other name. The record is from RNAcentral. Lineage: Bacteria; Pseudomonadati; Pseudomonadota.
GACCUGGUCCCAUGCAAUGUGUUGCGGGGCCAGCGGGUCAGGCGGGAAACCGAGCAGCCCAGCUUCGUUGAUGCAUGUGCCGUGGGUCGCUGGGUCGGA